Molecule: unclassified non-coding RNA, 11192 nt
Filed under: Megachile rotundata (alfalfa leafcutting bee)
Lineage: Eukaryota; Metazoa; Arthropoda; Insecta; Hymenoptera; Megachilidae
Description: teneurin-a, transcript variant X5
Source: RNAcentral
UGAACCAGCCGCUACGAUGCAUCACUAUUAUCCGCAAGAAGACAUAGAUCGUGUUGAGUACUUGAUGUCAGGAAAUCCACGGAGCUAUCCGGCUCGGUCUCCUGGGGUCGCUUCCACGCCAACCGUGACCAGGCUUCCGCCACCCCAACAGCAGGUGACAGUCGGUUCCGUGGGUGGUGGCCUGGGUGCGGGUGCUGGAAAUGGUGGUACAGGCACGGUGGGCGCCCAAGGUCAAGCCAUGGUAAUGCCAGGAUUUCCACUUCGUGCCGCAGCGGUGCCCCAUUAUUCACCUUAUUCGCCGUCACGUUUUCACAUCGACAAACGUUGCCAGCAUAGAUGCUCCUGGAAAUGUUUCUCGAUCGCCUUGAUCCUUUUGGCUGUUGCGCUGACAGCGAUGUUGGCUUACUUCGCCACAGUGAGUUCGAUGCGACCGAUAGACAGUACAAAGUGUGUGGUGGUCCAAGACGUGAAAGCUGUCACUCACGAGAACGCGCAUAUUCACGACCCGAUAUCAACGCAAAUACCCACGGAAGAAUCACUGCCAACGAGCACAGCCGAACACUCGAGCGCAUCGGACAGCGCCGGGGACCAACAGAGCGAUCCUCAGAUCCAGCAGUCUGCACAACAAUGGCCGGCCGUGCUCGAGCUUCAAGCGUACAACGUUGCCCACUCGGCCGUCAUAUCGCCUUACCACUUCUGGAACACGGAGUUCCGGAACAAGCAGCCUGCUUUCAUCAGGUUGAACCUGACAUUGCCAUGGGGUGCGAACUUCGCCGUGUACGGCAGGCGGAACGUGGCUCCGAGCGUCACGCAGUACGAUUUCGUGGAGUUCGUGAAGGGUGGCAGGGUUGAUCAUCGAUUGAAGAGGGACACCACCUCGGAAGCGGUCAGUUUCAUGAAAACGUCGGCUCAGGAGACUCGCUCGAACAUGGACAAUCAGUCGUAUCAACAUGUGCUGAUCAAGAGGACCAUCGUCGAACCGAUGAUGGUCAACGUCAGCUUGCUUCAGUAUUUAGACACGGGUCGUUGGUUCCUUUCGGUGUACAAUGAUGAACUGCAGCCAUACAAGGUUACCCUGGUCGUCACAGAAGCCGAAGGAGUCUCGACUACUUGCCCCAACGACUGCUCGGGACGAGGAUCGUGUUAUCUUGGGAAGUGCGACUGUAUCGACGGGUAUCAGGGAGCCGAUUGCAGCAAAAGCGUUUGCCCGGUGUUGUGUUCCUCGCACGGACAAUACGGCGGUGGUAUGUGCCACUGCGAAGAUGGCUGGAAGGGUGCCGAAUGCGAUAUACCAUUAGGUGACUGCCAAGUUCCUGAUUGCAAUCAACAUGGACAGUGCGUCCGAGGAUCCUGUGUCUGUAAUCCUGGCUGGAAAGGUGUCUUUUGCGAUGAACCGGACUGUGCCGAUCCAAACUGCAGCGGUCACGGAGCCUGUGUAUCCGGUAAAUGUUACUGCAAAGCCGGUUGGCAGGGCGAAAGAUGCAACCAGGUCGACCAGCAGGUAUACCAAUGUCUGCCUCGUUGCUCGGAUCACGGCACGUACGACCUGGAAUCCGCAACCUGUAUCUGCGAGGGACAUUGGACCGGGGUGGAUUGUUCACAGCCGAGUUGUGGCCUCAAUUGCGGACCUCAUGGAACCUGCGAACAGGGUCUCUGCAAAUGCAACGAUGAUUGGACUGGCAACAAGUGCGAUCAGAAACCGUGCGAUCCUCGAUGCGCUGAACAUGGCCAAUGCAAAAAUGGCACCUGUGUCUGCAGUCAAGGAUGGAACGGAAGACAUUGCACGCUGCCUGGAUGCGAGAACGGGUGCAGUCGACACGGGUUGUGCAAUCUACAAGAUGGCGAAUACAGCUGCAGGUGCUCGGAUGGCUGGGCGGGUAGAGAUUGCAGCAUACGUCUCGAAAUGGAGUGUAAUGACUUUAUUGACAACGAUCAGGAUGGCAUGAUGGACUGUUCUGACAGCGAGUGUUGCUCGCACGCAGCUUGCGCAGAGCAUAUCAUGUGCCUUACUAGUAAUAAUCCCGUGGACGUCCUUCUUCGAAAACAGCCGCCCAGCGUCACGGCGUCCUUUUACCAACGCGUGAAAUUCCUCGUUGAGGAGAACAGCGUACAAAGCUACGCUCAUAUGAACGAGUACACCGAAAGUACGUUCUGGAGUUCCUUUACACCGCGUCGAGUUGCGGUGAUGCGAGGCCAAGUUGUAACCGAACAAGGAAUUGGAAUAGUAGGCAUCAGAGUAUCCGUGGACAGAGACCCUCGAUUUGGAUUCACCUUGACCAGAGCUGAUGGAUGGUUCGACGUGUUGGUCAACGGUGGUGGUGCAGUGACGCUUCAGUUCCAACGUAGCCCCUUCAAACCCCUUACAAGGACGGUGUUCGUGCCAUGGAAUCAAAUAGUCGUUCUACCACCCGUAGUGAUGACCCUUAACGAGGAAGGCGAAUCCCAUAAAUCCAACCAACCCCCGAGCCCGGCUGUCGGCUUCCCAGGGAUAUCGAUGGGACUAUUUAGCGAGCAUGGUCCUUGCCUGGAGCACGAUCACGAGCUGCUGCGACCGAUCAUCGUCAGCACUUGGAUGCCUGAAAAAGUUGGCGGUCUUCCUGGCAAGAGUUUGGUGUUCGCCGAGAGUCAGAUCGUCCAGGAGAGCAUCGCCAUUCCCGGCUCGAAUCUACACUUGAUGUAUCAAAGCAGCCAAGCAGCUGGUUAUCUAUCGACGGUGAGAAUGCAACUGACCGGACCGUUCAUUCCGAAAUCGCUGACACACGUGCACGUCCACGUGGAGAUCGAGGGCUCCCUUCACACGAAAACCUACGAGGCGGACCCGAAUCUGACACACACGUUCGCCUGGAAUAAACGGAACGUUUACAAGCAGAAGGUGUACGGCGUGGCGCAGGCUAGAAUUUCAAUUGGUUAUCAGCAUUCCACUUGUCCGUCCGUGAUAUGGGAGACACAGACGGCCACUCUGCAGGGUUUCGAUGUGGACAUCUCUGACAUCGGUGGCUGGGGACUGGAUAUCCAUCAUCAUUACAACUUUCACGAGGGUAUCCUGCAAAAAGGCGACGGCACCACGUUGCAUUUCAAACAAUAUCCUCGAACGGUUAAAGUGGUCAUGGGUACUGGACUACAGAGGAACUUGGUCUGUCAGGAUUGCGAUGGUUUGGCCAAAGACGCUAGGUUGUUGACUCCGGUUGCUCUUACGAGUGGUCCGGACGGAAGCAUCUACGUUGGCGAUUUCAAUCUCGUUCGUAGAAUCACACCGGAAGGAAACGUAUAUACCGUCCUAACGUUGAGCGCGACUCAAGUAGCUUAUCAGUACUAUCUCUGCGUUUCACCGGCCGAUGGUCAUCUAUAUAUCAGCGAUCCCGAGAAACAUCAAAUAUUGAAGGCCUUAUCAUUGAAGAACGUUCAGCAUCCCAGCAUCAACAUCGAACCCGUGGUUGGAAGCGGAGAAAGGUGCAUUCCUGGCGAUGAAAGUCACUGUGGAGACGAAGGACCAGCCAUUCGCGCCAAACUAGCUCAUCCAAAAGGAAUCGCCAUUGCUGCUGACAAGACCAUGUACAUCGCCGAUGGAAGGAACAUCCGAGCGGUUGAUCCGAACGGUACCAUUCACACUCUGGUAGGCCACCAUGGACACCAUAAUCAUUGGUCACCGGCUCCGUGUGUGGGUGCCAUACCAGCUCAUCAGGCCCAACUGCAAUGGCCAACGGGAUUGACCCUGAGUCCUCUGGACGGAUCUCUGCACUUCAUCGACGACAGACUAGUGCUGAAGCUCACGAGCGAUCUGAAAGUCCGAGUGGUAGCCGGCACACCUCUUCACUGCACCAGCAACGGGAACAACGAUAACGAUCUGACGAAGGUGAACUCGUCGCUUACCACCAGUCCCAAAAAGUCUGACGAGGUUCUGGGCUCUGUGUUGGCUGUCAGCUUCAGUCCAACUGGCGAGCUAUACAUCGCGGAGAGCGAUUCACACCGUGUCAACUCGAUCAAGAUCGUGGACAGCUCUGGAAAAAUGUCUCACUUCGCUGGACAGCAACAGGAGAGACUGCGUGGGCAGUGCGAGUGCAACAACACGACUCCGAGCACAAAAGACCUGGAGAGCUGCGCAUGUACGGACGACACGAGCAGCACGGAGACUUUGUUGUCAUCGAAUGCGAAGUUCACUGCUAUAUCUGCUCUAGCGGUUUCGCCGGACGGUGUGUUGCAUGUGGCAGACCAAGGCAGCUUGCACAUCCUCGCUCUUCAGCCUUAUCUUCCGAACCACGACGAAAGCGGAGAAUUCCAUAUACCGUUCCCGCCUUCGAACGAGGUGUACGUGUUCAAUCGCUACGGUCAACACAUCUCUACGAAGGACCUGACGUCAGGGAAGACACGAUACUCCUUCCUAUAUAGCAAGAACACUAGCUUUGGAAAGUUAUCGACGGUCACAGACAGUGCUGGCAAUAAGAUUCAGUUCCUGAGGGAUUAUAGCAGCGUCGUCAGUUCCAUAGAAAACACGCAAGAUCAUAAGUCAGAGUUGAAGAUCUCCGCCGUUGGGUUCUUAGAGAAGCUGUCUGAACGAGGCAGGGCUGAAAUCGCGCUUGCUUACGAUGGCUCAACUGGCUUGCUUACCAGUCGAUCAGGGGGUGGCGAAACAUACAUUUAUAAUUAUGACGGCCUGGGUCGAGUGACCGAUGUCAUUCUACCUACCGGUGAAAAAUUGAAGUUAUCUUCCGAUCUGUCGGACGACGAAGGACUGUUGGUUAAGGUGUCAGCCCCGCUUCAAGCGUUAUCUAAGGGAGAUAAGCAGAGAACUGUGGAAUUCAAGAUGAAGAACGAGAGAUCUAAAAUACUAACAAUAACCGAUGGUAAUUUUUUUAUUAUUAGAUCCCAGAUAUAUAACAAACUUCACAGAUGUUUAACAGACUAUCUAUUUCCAGGCAUGAAGAUCAAGAAAGCGAUAGCUUUCACAAACAGCAGCUUAGAAGUCCUUCUUCCUGGCGGUGGUAGAGUCUUAAGCGCAGCUACCACGAAACAUCCUCUGCUAGAAGCCGCGUUGCCAGUGGAAGCCGAAAUGUUGCCCAUGUGGAGCUACCAAUUGAUGUCACUUGGAGAGUUGACCAACACGAUGAGCACCGCUUAUAACCUGGUCGGCGACGUCAGCCACUUCCAGCAAACUCUCAACAGAGAAAUCUGGGUGAACGACACUCGAGUGAUAGGUGUGGAAUUCGAGCAAGCGUUUAGACGCGAGACCUUUUAUGAUAAAUCAAGGAAUCCUCUUCUGACGGUCACCUUUGAUCCUGCUGGACUACCUUUGACCUGGCAGCCUCACGAGCAAGGCUACAAUCUCAGCAUCACCUAUGACAGGUUUAACCGGAUAGAGAGCUGGAAAUGGGGUGGAUCUGAUGAGUCCUAUGGCUACGAUCGACAUGGACAGUUAGCCGAGGUGACGAACAGUCAGGAUGGCACUAAAUAUUACACCUACAACGACUUCAAUAUCCUUUCCAACAUCACUCUUGCCAGCGGCAGACACUUUUCUCUGCAGUACGACGACGAUGGUGGGCUUCGUCACAUUAUUCUUCCAUCGGGAACAAAACACUCGUUCUCCUGUCAAGCUUCGUUAGGCUUCCUUCGAGUGACGUACACACCGCCCGGCAACAGUAGAGCGUACCUACAGCACUAUAGCCACGAUGGAAACCUGCUACAGACCGUGUUCCCUGGUGACGGUGCACGUAUUGUGUACAGAUACCAUUCUUCGGGACAGCUGGCUGAAGUCGUACACGGUGACGGGAAAAGCGAGAUCAGAUACACGGAGAGCGGUUUGCCCUCCGAAGUGAUACAUUCUGAACGAGACGUGGAAUACAAAUGGGACUAUCAGUACAGUGCUGGUCUGCUGGUCGAAGAACGAAUUGAUUUCGGGGCUAAAACUGGUCUAAGCAAUGCUAAGUUCACGUUCGAGUACGAUUCAAAUUUCAGACUGGUGAAUGUUCAAGGCAGAAUAGGUGGACAGACACUACCGCCACACACCAUGGCUUACAGUCCGCGGACAGGAAUGUUGGAGCAAAUAGGUCACUUCAAAGUGACCAAGCCACAAAUAAACGAAACCACCGUGUUCGAUGGCACAGCACUGUUCUCUAGAAUCACGGACGACAGGUUCCUCGAGACCCAAGUAACGUUAACGAUUCACCAACUGGAAGUGUUCAGGAUGGAGUUCACCCACGAUUCUCAAGGUCGAAUCAAUCAGACCAGAACGUACACCCGUAAUGUCGCCGUCAACACCUACACCAAUGUGAAGAACUAUACUUGGGAUUGUGACGGUCAAUUGACCGGUGUCGAGGCUCAAGAACCAUGGGGUUUCAAGUACGAUGCUAAUGGUAACAUGUUAUCGCUUACAUAUCGAGGAAACCCCAUACCCAUGGAGUACAACAACAUGGACAGGAUCGUCAAGUUUGGCGACGGUAGCUACAAGUACGAUAACAGAGGACAGGUUGUUCAAAAUGCUCGGGAAGAGAGGUACAGUUACAACACCAAAGGACUUCUGGUUAGAGCCACCAAACAAGGAAGAUUCGACGUGCGAUAUUAUUACGAUCAUCUCGAUCGUCUUGCAACCAGGAAGGACAACUAUGGAAACGUUACACAGUUCUUUUACAAUAAUCAAAAGCGGCCUCACGAAGUGAGCCAGAUAUACAGUCCGCGAGAUGGUAAACUGAUGUCAUUGGUGUACGAUGAUAGGGGACAUCUCAUUUACGCUCAAGUCUAUCGGCACAAAUAUUACAUCGCCACCGAUCAGUGUGGCACUCCAAUUAUGGUCUUCAGUCAAUACGGUGAGGGCAUCAGGGAGCUUAUGCGGUCGCCCUUCGGACAUAUCGUUUACGAUUCGAAUCCCUAUUUGUAUCUCCCUAUUGAUUUUUGCGGAGGACUCUUGGAUCAGGUAACGUCAUUGGUGCACAUGCCCUACGGUAAAAUCUACGAUCCGCUCAUAGGCCAGUGGAUGUCUCCUUUGUGGGAGAACGUACUGGACAGAGUGAACACUCCGACGCAUCUGAAUCUGUACAGAUUCAAUGGAAACGAUCCUAUCGAUGCUAGGCACACGGACCGAACGAAUCAUCCAACAGAUCACAUAUCAUGGCUGUCGCACCUGGGCUAUGACCUGAAGAGCCUCGCCCCGCAGUUGUUCCCCGACGAGCUUCCGGACAGUCUGGUUCCUCCCUCCCUCGCUCCAGAAACAUCGAUAUUCGGUAAAAAGAAGAGGACCAGAAAUCUCGGCGUUCAGUCCGGUUUCCUGGCGCACAUCGCGCAAAGGCAUUCGGGCGACGCCGUCAGUUUAUCGGCACCGCCUCGUUCGGCGCUGAAGAAGGACACCAGUGACCUGAUCCCUAGUCGUCUGGGCGCAGCCUCGGAUCCACCGUUCGGGAAAGGUAUCCUGGUGUCCAGAACCGCGGAUGGUCAGGCCGUGGUAUCCAGCGUACCCACCGCGAAUGCCAUCUACGGAGACGUGUUCACCUCUGUGUUCAACCGGUCGUACUUCCUUCCGUUCACGUUCGUGGUACACAGCGCCCAACAGGACGCGUUCUACUUCGUGAAGGAGGAGACCUGGAGGGCCAGCGAGGACCGCGGUCAAUUAAAGCGUCUCGGUGGCCAGGUGAACACCACGUUCCACGAGAGCGAGAACGGCAGCGGCAGCAGCUCGCUGAUCGACGUGAAGAUUCACGGUGCCAGCUACGUGGUGAACCUCCGUUACGGCACCACCGCCGAAAAAGAGAAACAAAGACUGCUACAUCACGCUAAGGCGACCGCCAUUCGCAAAGCGUGGCACAGAGAACGCGAAGCCUUGAAGGCUAACACUCCAACGGCCAUCGAGUGGAUGGUAGCCGAGCAGGACGAGAUACUGAAGUCGGGGUCCGCGUCGAAUUACGAGGGCGAGUACAUCCACGACGCUCAGCUUUAUCCGGAGCUGGCCGAGGAUCCGUACAACAUCAGGUUCGUGAAGAAGGUCGACCCGUCGAGCAAGAAACGACGCAGAAGGAGAGGCGUCCACACUUGUAAACUCUGGUGGCUGGACAAGAUCUGCUAGAUCCGGCGCGCGUCUGCAGCUAGCUUGUCCUCCUCUCCUGACAUGCCAGGAGAAUUGUCCAAAUCGAAGCAACAGGAAUUUUGAAAGGACGCGGAGCGUGGAAGAGGAGAAUGAUCCGGAAGAGACAGGAUCAGGCCGAGGCAUGGCCGUGGCGUCCGUAUACACGCGUAAUAAACGUACUGAACACUAUCAAAAACAAAAAAAAAGUUUUAUACCAAAGUCUAUUUGUGUAUUUCGAAGAUGCCAAAAACAUUUAACGUUAUAUCGAUUAUAUUGUACCGCGAUAGGGUGUAGUGUGUAAGAAUUUCGAAGGGAACCGUGCGACGUUUGGUAUAUUGCCUACGAGGAUGCUGUCCGCGAAAUCGUGACCACCGGUAAUCGAUUCGUGGAAGGAUACGUGGAACGUUCCGGGAAGCUUGUCUCUCGUCCCGUUAUCGAUCAGGAGGGUCCUUGAAGAGGUUCCUGAGAGUGGAUGAACUUUACCCGGACUAGGUUUACGCAGAGGUGGAUUUCGAGGGAAGAGACUGACACGCCGAACGGAACGCGAUCGUGAAGGUAUAAAAGUGAGACUACGAAGCGCCACCACAUCGAUCCAACGUAACACGCGACGGAGGAGCAACAGAGGAUAAGGACAAAGGAAGGAAGAUGAUCGUCGAUGAUGUACCAUGCGAGGAACCGUGUGUGCCCACCAGUCUAUCCGCGCGAUAUGCUUUAGUCGUACUUCGAUAACGAGGACGAGGAGCCUAUAAAAAUUACUCUGAGAAUAGGUACGCUAAUUCGAAUCGCGAGAGGUGGAAGGAACACGCGCGUAUCUCAACAAUGAAUGGCCCUGUGACUGACACGAUGAACGGCGAGCGUCCAAAUUGUGGUAGGAUCAGGACUCCAAGAUGCCAGCAAGAGAAUCCGAAGAAGUAGGCUCGAUUUCCAGUGUCCCGACGCCUAUUCACGGAUUCCUGCAAUACGUUGGUGGUCAAAGAUCGAUGAAGGAGAAAAAGAAGUCGAAUGAUCGGCAUCCGGAAUAUUGUAGGACUGGGACUUCAGAGUCCCAGAAGACGUGGGCUGCUACGCGGAAGACUGAAGCUCGAUUUCCAGUGUCUGGCGCCUAUUUCUCACGGAUUCCUGCGGGGAAACGUGGAGCAGACGAUCAGGCGUGUUCUUCGAAUCGAUAUUCCGAAUUCAGGUCGAAGAAAGAGAGAGAGGCGUUACUAAGGUGUAUUAUAAAUGUGGUGCUUUCUCGCGCGAUGAAAAAUAAAAACAAGUCGGUGCAACAACGUUGAUUAACGGUGAGCGUGAAUAAUUAGAGGACAUCGGAACACACUGCAUAGAGCGUGGCUAAGUAUUUUUAACGAUGGAUGUGUCCUAACCAAAAAUUCCCCCUUUUUAGCGCUAGCGUCCAUUUCCUCGAGAAUUGAUGUCGCGUAUGCGUACGAAUUGUUGUUCGAAAGGGAAACGUUAUUGUCGUCGCGAGCGAGGGACGAAGCCGAUCAUGAUCGAGACAGGUCCCUCGAGCGACAGACGGUGACGGAUAAAACUAAAAAGUUGACGCGAUGAGCGAGUGAGAGAAGAGAGCGAGUGUGAGAGAGAAUGGAUAAGAAACUCCAUUAUCGGUAAUAAUACGUAUACACGAUAUUAUUGCAUAUUUGUGCUUGCUGGAUAUGAAUAACGGAACGUUAACUAUGUUUCUUCACCGAAUACUAAGUGUGUAUAUCUAAAUUUAAUGCUCGUCAGUACCGAUCGUUUUCGCUGUGUACUGAACGCCAUACCAUACAUCUACGUACGUAAGAAUAUUGUUUAGCACCGAUAUCUUUCACCUAACCACACACCUCUGCGGUAUUAUCCGUCUAAGUGGCACGACUUUGGAUCAGUGAGUUGUCAAUUACAGAAUAACUUAUUUAUUCGUCAAAGUUUGUUACAAUUUUAAAAGAAAAAGAAUGUAGGAAUGAUUCAAAUUUGAGGUACUGCUGAGGGAACUCAUUCAAGAUAUUAACUAUAGUUAUUAUUAAUAACUUACAAUACGCUAAAGUUUAAUAAUUGAUUCAGCAGGCAGUACUAUACUCACAUUUCUCGAAAUGAACUACAGUACUUUCCUCCAAUUUUUUCACCCAGAAAAUAUAACAUCUUAACUAAGUAAUCGGUACAUGAAUCUAGAUACGGAAAUUUUGAUUUACAAUUAACAAAGUAAAAUACUUGAAGAAAAUGUUAGAACGUGCCAGUUAGAGAGGCAAUACUGUACCUGUCCAUUACACGUCCCGUUUCUUUCAAACGAAACCACAGAUCCUUUCUAUCCACGAAAUCACAAUUUCUUUCACCUCAAUCGCCCCGACACGUUACGUUUUUCCUCGUUUUUUCAAAUGUUUGUAUACUCGCCAUUGAAUAUUUUGCGACGGCUUUAGAAAACGGCGGCCGUUCACGGAUAGAUAGUCGCACAACGACAUUACUGUCUGGAUAGAUGAGAAAACGAGAAAAAUUAAAAAAGAAUUAUCUUAUUACACUGUGUGUAUAAAAGAAUAAAAAAUUAUAUAUAUAGAAAGAGAGGAUAAGAGAGAGAGAGAGAGAAAUUAUAUAGGAAAGCUUCGUAACGUAUUUUUGACUCGAGCGAGUGUUUAGAGCAACGUAAAACACCGAUCCUUAAAAGUGGUCCAAACGAGGUUAAAAAUGGUGUUUUUUUUUUUUAAAUGCACACGAACAAUUUAAAUCGCGAUUCUUUCUUCGAAAAACGAGAGCGUCCGUUCUUUCGCGUUUCCUUCCGAUUUAUGCUGCCAAUGUUGUUCGAAUUUCCGCGAAAGGACGAGACGUUCGUAGGACGAAAAGGACCUCGAGAUCGUUGGUGAACGAACCACAGCUCUUAGACACGUGGACAUCUGAACCAGACCUUUCCAAAAAACGAUUUCCAGAGUCAAACGAUAUCCUUUCUUUUUCCAUGGUGCUGGUUGACAUGGCGUUGAUCACUUCUGACACAUUGUAUAAAUCUUUCGAAGUUUAUUGUAUGAAAUUCAACUGUGAAAAUACGAUAAUUUAAUGCAACAUUUAGACGAACAUGGCGUUAGCAUAACAUGUUUCGAUUAAGGGGUAACAAUUCGUGUUAUUGGAGCGAUUACAACUGUUGAAAGUUUUCUGAAUAAAUCGGCCAUUUCAUUUGCAACAA